CUGUCAUAUUCCUUUUUUAAAUAUAAAUUUUAAAAAUUUACUUAUUUUUAAAUUGAAGGAUAAUUGCUUUACAGAAUUUUGUUCUUUUCUGUCAAACCUCAACAUGAAUCAGCCAUAGGUAUACAUAUAUCCCCUCCCUCUUGAAUCCUCUCCCAUCUCCCUCCCCAUCCUACCCCUCUAGGUUGAUACAGAGCCCCUGUUUGAAUUUCUGAGACAUACAGCAAAUUCCCAUUGGCUAUCUAUUUUACAACCAGUCCAUCCUAAAGGAGAUCAGUCCUGAGUGAUCAUUGAAAGGACUGAUGCUGAAGCUGAAACUCCAAUACUUUGGCCACCCGAUGCAAAAAGCUGACUCAUUUGAAAAGACUCUGAUAAUGGGAAAGAUUGAAGGCGGGAGGAAAAGGGGAUGACAGAGGAUGAGAUGGUUGGAUGGCAUCACCGACUUAAUGGAGAUGAGUUUGAGUAAACUCCGGGAGUUGGUGAUGGACAGGGAGGCAUGGUGUGCUGCAGUCCAUGGAGUCGCAAAGAGUUGGACACAACUGAGAGACUGAACUGAACUGAUCUAUUUUACACAUGGUGGCCUUCUCAUCCUCCUCCUAUCCACCCACCUCACCAUGGGUCUGCAUCCUGAAUGAACGUGUUCCUCAAAGACAGUAACUCCCACACACCAAGCGGUAUCUAGCUGUGUGGGUGAGAUAUUCUCCAGCCUCUCCAAAGCUGUGUAGAAAGUGGAGAGACUUGGUACUCACAGCCCUCAAACACCAAUUCUCCUCCUGGGACUGUGUGUGGGAAUUUUAUGUCAUUGAAGACCAGAUGACCUGCCCCUCUGAGGAGUUUUGGACUCAUGGUUCAGAGGAGGAGGAAUCGAUGAACUGGUACCCAGCUUCGCUCUUUGUUCUGAGCCCCAUCACCACCGAUGGCCCGUGAAAGUCAGGCGUUCUCACACCUGUAAAAGAAAAAGAGAAACCUCAACCACUUAGAUAUUAUCUCCAACAGUCAGAAGUAUAAUAGGAGUUAAGUUUAAUGUUUCAGAAGUGAUGGGUUAACUUGACUGUUUCUGAACGGGGUUUCUGAAUUAUAACAUUUUCUCUAUAAUGUAAGGAGAUAAACUGAGGAGAGGGGGGAACACUGGGAGCUAAGUUCAAUGAUAUUAGAGCUUGCAGAGUUUGGUGUCCAAGAGCCAUUAUGUAAAUUGCUGGUAUAUUCUGAGUGGUAGAAAGCACAAUAAGCCUCCCAUGUUGUCUUAAUUUUACUUUUUUUCAGACAUUUUUGAAAACUGAUCCUCUCAGCAAAAAUGCAAUGAGGACAAUAUAUUCUUUGUCUUCUUUUUUAAUGACAGCUUCAGAUCUAGGGAAAGCAUUUUCUAUUUAUCUCUUUUUCUAUACAUCUC
This 1387-nucleotide long non-coding RNA is filed under the name Bos indicus x Bos taurus (hybrid cattle). RNAcentral's name for it is "lncRNA (ENSBIXG00000014046.1)". Lineage: Eukaryota; Metazoa; Chordata; Mammalia; Artiodactyla; Bovidae. The record is from RNAcentral.